GGGUACAUAGCUCAGCUGGUUAGAGCACUUCACUGAUAAUGAAGAGGUCCCUGGUUCGAGUCCAGGUGUACCCA
Molecule: transfer RNA, 74 nt
Filed under: Candidatus Kerfeldbacteria bacterium RIFOXYA2_FULL_38_24
Lineage: Bacteria; Candidatus Kerfeldiibacteriota
Also listed under: 2 other names
Description: tRNA-Ile
Rfam family: tRNA
About the family: Transfer RNA (tRNA) molecules are approximately 80 nucleotides in length. Their secondary structure includes four short double-helical elements and three loops (D, anti-codon, and T loops).
Source: RNAcentral